Molecule: non-coding RNA, 247 nt
Organism: Pelobates cultripes (western spadefoot toad)
Lineage: Eukaryota; Metazoa; Chordata; Amphibia; Anura; Pelobatidae
Source: the annotation of a GenBank genome assembly
CCCGUAGCCAGUUCGCAAACGUUUUAGGGAUCUUCCUAUAUCUACGCCUUUUCUCUUCUUCCUCCUUCUUUGCGUCCUUCUUGUCCUCCUCUUUCAGGUCAAGAAACUCCUCCAGAGGAAGAAGGGCAAAAACUUCCACAAACUCACCUUUCCAAAUCUUGUCCUUCAACUCGGCCCUAAGAUGACAGCCUAAGGGGCCCGCGAAAGAAACGUGAACAUUUUGCCGCGCCGCGUCGGUAAUCUCGCC